UGUAAUUGGUUAAUUUUUUUUCCAGUCUCUGAAUCCUGAAGAUAUUUCAACUGAAACAGAAGAGAGCUCUGUUUGAAAACCUUAGAAAUGUGAGAUUUUUACUGGUGUUGAUAUCUGAUAUGGGUAAUAAUGAUGUUUCUGUAGAACAAACCUGGUACAAAGCCCACAGAUUUCUGUGCAAAAGAAAAUACAAAACAAGUUGGACUUUUCACCUUAGUAUUCAAGAAAUUUAUCUACAUAAAUUUUUCUAGGCUCCAUGGAGAAAGCAAUUCCGUAUAUAAACAUGAGAUUAUUACAAGAGAGGGUUUGUUAUCUAGGUCCUCAAAAUAGCUCUCAAUUUUCCCUUACACAGAUUUUGUAAAAGAGCAUUGAAAAGUUUAUUUCCAGAGUGCAGUCUAUAAACACUUAAAGUAUGAUGUAUAAUUCACAGGAAAACUAAUUUAUGUUUGUAAGAGUAAAAAGCACAUUUCAUAUUCUUUAGUUCUUCUACCUGAACUAGCUUCUACUUAACAAGUAUGAAUCAAAAUGCCACCAAUUCAGAGAUCCUUCAUUGUUCCUUGACUUCUCCUCUUCUCAUUAAAGUUCCUUUCUGCCCUGAAAGUUUCUGCUGUCUUUCUUCCCCUCUCAUUCCCGCUUCAUCUGCUUGUCAUUGUUUGGGUCAUCUGUUCACUUGCUUUUCAAAGCAAACUGCCUUUACCCAAUAGGAAGUUCCCAGGAAUCUGUUCUGAACUCAGUUAUCCUCUUUUCCAUUAUGGAACAUGACUUCAGAAAACUUGGUUCAACAAUAUUAAUCAUGCCAUUUAGUACAUGUAACUCUCUUUUAAAUGUGAUGUUGUUUUUGUUUGUUUUCUGCCCUCUCAAGGUGUUUCACAACUGUUAUCUACUACUGUCAGUUAGAAUCCCUUUUGUCUGGCCAAGAGAAGAAGGGAAGGAAGGUACUUGGCUUAUAGUCUGUCUCUUGUCAGCUAAGCUCACUCAUGAUCCUGUCAGUUUUCAAUGAAUUUCUCACUGGGAAGUAAAUACAAUGAAUAGAGAUAAACAGCUAUGAACAAUUUUAAAAGUGAUAAUGUUUCAUGAGCUCAAAAUAUACCUAGAAUUAUAAUUCAUAAUUAUAAAUUUUUAAAUAUCUGUUUAAUUCAAAUGAAGAAAAAUGGGAAACAAAUAAUAAAUAAUAUGGCAUCAGAAUAUAAGCCAAAUAUAUCACAAUGGAUUGCUAGCCCUAUGCUGCUAACAAGAGACAGAAAUAAAUGUGGCAAGUAUAUGUAAGACUUCUGGAAAAAAUAACCCAUAAUAUUGAACUGAGUGUAAACAAAGAAGAUACAAAUAAAUGAAGAGAUAUUCUAUGUUUCUUUAUUUAAAAGGAUCAGUGUUGAAAGAUGUCAGUUCUCUAGUUUUUGAUGAAAAUAAUGGGAUUGGAAUUGACACCAACAGUUGUGUGACUGCACAUGAGAUAAGGGAGUAUUGGGAAAGCACUGGAGUCUGACUCCAGAAAUAUUUUUUGUUUGCUUUUUAGAAUAAUAAAAGAGAAAAAGAAAUAGACUGUACAGUGCCAGGCAUGUGACUACUUGGAGAGGGAAGGGAAAUUCCUCUCUAGAUGUUCAAAAAAAAGGGAAUUCUAUUGAAUUCAAGAAAAACAGACUCUACUAUUAGGCAAAUAAGUAGUCCAAGCAGAGAAUUAAUAUUGCAUGGUGAUAAGGUGUGAAAGAAGUGACUACUAGCACUCUGCAUUUUCCUACACUUUCUAUGCAAGAGAUCAGAAAUCUCUCUUUUUUUACUGGACGCCAGAUGCCUGGACCAAAAUUUAGCCAGGGCUCAGGAGUAAGACUGUAGAAUUAACCUGUGAGGAGCUCUGGGGUACAGCAGGCAUGACAACAGGUCCUUGAAAAUUGGCAAUCUAAGGUUUAGAACAAGGUCUGAGAGCAGCAGGAUUUGGAUGUGGCCUGGGUACCAGAGCGCUGAUCCUGGAUUUAGUGGAAACCCAACUCCUGCAGCACAUCAUCCUACCAUGGACAAAGCGGGCCUGACUACCUGACUCAUGCUCAGAGGUGUUUGGAGGAUUCAGUACCACUGCAACAUGAAUACUUCCCCAUCCCACUCCAGUCUCCUGCCACAUAGGUGCUCAACACAUGGAUUGACUCUUGGGGUAU
Molecule: long non-coding RNA, 2147 nt
Filed under: Marmota monax (woodchuck)
Lineage: Eukaryota; Metazoa; Chordata; Mammalia; Rodentia; Sciuridae
Source: RNAcentral